UGGGGAAUAUUGGGCAAUGGAGGAAACUCUGACCCAGCGACGCCGCGUGCGGGAUGAAGGCCUUCGGGUUGUAAACCGCUUUCAGCAGGGAAGAAGCGAAAGUGACGGUACCUGCAGAAGAAGCACCGGCUAACUAUGUGCCAGCAGCCGCGGUAAUACAUAGGGUGCAAGCGUUGUCCGGAAUUAUUGGGCGUAAAGAGCUCGUAGGUGGUUCGUCACGUCGGAUGUGAAACUCUGGGGCUUAACCCCAGACCUGCAUUCGAUACGGGCGAGCUUGAGUAUGGUAGGGGAGUCUGGAAUUCCUGGUGUAGCGGUGGAAUGCGCAGAUAUCAGGAGGAACACCAAUGGCGAAGGCAGGACUCUGGGCCAUUACUGACACUGAGGA
This 385-nucleotide ribosomal RNA is filed under the name uncultured bacterium. RNAcentral's name for it is "bacterial SSU rRNA". It matches the Rfam family "Bacterial small subunit ribosomal RNA", at positions 355 to 752 of the family's 1533-position model. The record is from RNAcentral.